Trichophaea hybrida is the source of this 95-nucleotide non-coding RNA. NCBI's taxonomy places the organism in Eukaryota, Fungi, Ascomycota, Pezizomycetes, Pezizales, Pyronemataceae. The record is from the annotation of a GenBank genome assembly.
UCCCCCGUGGCGCAAUUGGCUAGCGCGUCCGACUGUUAAAACCUUUACAGGUUUCUGCGAUCGGGAGGUUGGUGGUUCAAGCCCACCCGGAGGAG